RNAcentral lists this ribosomal RNA (169 nucleotides) under uncultured Clostridium sp. RNAcentral describes it as "partial 16S ribosomal RNA". It matches the Rfam family "Bacterial small subunit ribosomal RNA", at positions 338 to 524 of the family's 1533-position model. Lineage: Bacteria; Bacillati; Bacillota; Clostridia; Eubacteriales; Clostridiaceae. The record is from RNAcentral.
CCUACGGGAGGCAGCAGUGGGGAAUAUUGCACAAUGGGCGAAAGCCUGAUGCAGCAACGCCGCGCGAGUGAUGAAGGCCUUCGGGUUGUAAAGCUCUGUCUUCUGGGACGAUAAUGACGGUACCAGAGGAGGAAGCCACGGCUAACUACGUGCCAGCAGCCGCGGUAAU